This 254-nucleotide ribosomal RNA is filed under the name uncultured bacterium. Its description in RNAcentral is "partial 16S ribosomal RNA". It matches the Rfam family "Bacterial small subunit ribosomal RNA", at positions 524 to 776 of the family's 1533-position model. The record is from RNAcentral.
UACGUAGGGUGCGAGCGUUGUCCGGAAUUAUUGGGCGUAAAGAGCUCGUAGGCGGUCUGUCGCGUCGGUCGUGAAAACUUGGGGCUUAACCCUGAGCUUGCGGUCGAUACGGGCAUGACUGGAGUUCGGCAGGGGAGACUGGAAUUCCUGGUGUAGCGGUGAAAUGCGCAGAUAUCAGGAGGAACACCAAUGGCGAAGGCAGCUCGCUGGGACGGUACUGACGCUGAGACGCGAAAGCGUGGGGAGCAAACAGG